AUUGAACGCUGGCGGCAGGCCUAACACAUGCAAGUCGAACGGUAACAGGAAGCAGCUUGCUGCUUUGCUGACGAGUGGCGGACGGGUGAGUAAUGUCUGGGAAACUGCCUGAUGGAGGGGGAUAACUACUGGAAACGGUAGCUAAUACCGCAUAACGUCGCAAGACCAAAGAGGGGGACCUUCGGGCCUCUUGCCAUCGGAUGUGCCCAGAUGGGAUUAGCUAGUAGGUGGGGUAACGGCUCACCUAGGCGACGAUCCUUAGCUGGUCUGAGAGGAUGACCAGCCACACUGGAACUGAGACACGGUCCAGACUCCUACGGGAGGCAGCAGUGGGGAAUAUUGCACAAUGGGCGCAAGCCUGAUGCAGCCAUGCCGCGUGUAUGAAGAAGGCCUUCGGGUUGUAAAGUACUUUCAGCGGGGAGGAAGGGAGUAAAGUUAAUACCUUUGCUCAUUGACGUUACCCGCAGAAGAAGCACCGGCUAACUCCGUG
RNAcentral lists this ribosomal RNA (490 nucleotides) under uncultured bacterium. RNAcentral's name for it is "partial 16S ribosomal RNA". It matches the Rfam family "Bacterial small subunit ribosomal RNA", at positions 30 to 507 of the family's 1533-position model. The record is from RNAcentral.